This 449-nucleotide ribosomal RNA is filed under the name uncultured organism. Its description in RNAcentral is "partial 16S ribosomal RNA". It matches the Rfam family "Bacterial small subunit ribosomal RNA", at positions 334 to 799 of the family's 1533-position model. The record is from RNAcentral.
CACUCCUGCGGGAGGCAGCAGUGGGGAAUAUUGGACAAUGGGCGCAAGCCUGAUCCAGCCAUGCCGCGUGAGUGAUGAAGGCCCUAGGGUUGUAAAGCUCUUUCACCGGUGAAGAUAAUGACGGUAACCGGAGAAGAAGCCCCGGCUAACUUCGUGCCAGCAGCCGCGGUAAUACGAAGGGGGCUAGCGUUGUUCGGAUUUACUGGGCGUAAAGCGCACGUAGGCGGACUAUUAAGUCAGGGGUGAAAUCCCGGGGCUCAACCCCGGAACUGCCUUUGAUACUGGUAGUCUUGAGUUCGAGAGGGGUGAGUGGAAUUCCGAGUGUAGAGGUGAAAUUCGUAGAUAUUCGGAGGAACACCAGUGGCGAAGGCGGCUCACUGGCUCGAUACUGACGCUGAGGUGCGAAAGCGUGGGGAGCAAACAGGAUUAGAUAUCCGUGUAGUCCCAUG